AGUGCGGAAUAGCUCAGGGAAACUUGGAGUAAUACCGCAUACGCCCGCAAGGGGAAAGAUUUAUCGCCAUUAGAUGGGCCCGCGUUGGAUUAGCUAGUUGGUGAGGUAAUGGCUCACCAAGGCGACGGUCCAUAGCUGGUCUGAGAGGAUGAUCAGCCACACUGGGACUGAGACACGGCCCAGACUCCUACGGGAGGCAGCAGUGGGGAAUAUUGGACAAUGGGCGCAAGCCUGAUCCAGCCAUGCCGCGUGAGUGACGAAGGUCUUCGGAUUGUAAAGCUCUUUUGGCGGGGACGAUAAU
RNAcentral lists this ribosomal RNA (301 nucleotides) under uncultured Hyphomicrobium sp. RNAcentral describes it as "bacterial SSU rRNA". It matches the Rfam family "Bacterial small subunit ribosomal RNA", at positions 135 to 452 of the family's 1533-position model. The record is from RNAcentral. Lineage: Bacteria; Pseudomonadati; Pseudomonadota; Alphaproteobacteria; Hyphomicrobiales; Hyphomicrobiaceae.